GUGGUUAGAGCUAGGUAGCCUAGUGGUUAGAGCAGGUAGCCUAGUGGUUAGAGCAGGUAGCCUAGUGGUUAGAGCAGGUAGCCUAGUGGUUAGAGCAGGUAGCCUAGUGGUUAGAGCCAGGUAGCCUAGUGGUUAGAGCCAGGUAGCCUAGUGGUUAGAGCCAGGUAGCCUAGUGGUUAGAGCCAGGUAGCCUAGUGGUUAGAGCAGGUAGCCUAGUGGUUAGAGCCAGGUAGCCUAGUGGUUAGAGCCAGGUAGCCUAGUGGUUAGAGCAGGUAGCCUAGUGGUUAGAGCAGGCAGCCUAGUGGUUAGAGCAGGUAGCCUAGUGGUUAGAGCAGGUAGCCUAGUGGUUAGAGCAGGUAGCCUAGUGGUUAGAGCAGGUAGCCUAGUAGUUAGAGCAGGUAGCCUAGUAGUUAGAGCAGGUAGCCUAGUGGUUAGAGCAGGUAGCCUAGUGGUUAGAGCAGGUAGCCUAGUGGUUAGAGCAGGUAGCCUAGUGGUUAGAGCAGGUAGCCUAGUGUUUAGAGCCAGGUAGCCUAGUGGUUAGAGCCAGGUAGCCUAGUGGUUAGAGCCAGGUAGCCUAGUGGUUAGAGCCAGGUAGCCUAGUGGUUAGAGCCAGGUAGCCUAGUGGUUAGAGCCAGGUAGCCUAGUGGUUAGAGCCAGGUAGCCUAGUGGUUAGAGCCAGGUAGCCUAGUGGUUAGAGCCAGGUAGCCUAGUGGUUAGAGCAGGUAGCCUAGUGGUUAGAGGCAGGUAGCCUAGUGGUUAGAGCAG
This is a long non-coding RNA of Oncorhynchus tshawytscha (Chinook salmon), 765 nucleotides long. The record is from Ensembl. NCBI's taxonomy places the organism in Eukaryota, Metazoa, Chordata, Actinopteri, Salmoniformes, Salmonidae.